UGCUUUAUAAACGCCCUGAUACACCUUCCCUCAGAUGCAAGUAACUAGUAAAUAUAACCAAACCUUAGUGAAUAAAUAUUACUGAUUUGCAAACCAUUUAAAGUGUUUAACUACUUUGUGUGGGUGAUCAACAGUGGACAAUCAAACUUAACAGCUUCUUCAACUGAAAGACAUGGAUGACAUCCAAGUUUUACCAAAAGCACCCCUGCUUGUUGACAGGGAAUUGCCAGGGUUGAGAGCAGCUUUGCGCAACUUGUGAUAAAGGAGCACGAUGUAGAGACUCCCCAUGGAAGGAUCCACUGCACCAUGAAGGGGAUACCCAAAGGAGACCGGCCCGUCAUCCUCACCUUCCAUGACAUUGGACUGAACCACAAGACGUGCUUUGACUCCAUGUUCCAGCAUGAGGACAUGCAGGAGAUCAUGCAGCACUUUGCUGUGUGCCACGUCGAUGCCCCUGGGCAGCACGAGGGGGCCAACACUUUCUCUACUGGGUACGAGUACCCCUCCAUGGAUCAGCUGUCUGAGUCUCUCCCCCUGGUCCUCAAGCAUUUUGGCCUGAAAAGCAUAAUUGGAAUAGCCGUCGGAGCUGGAGCCUACAUCCUGGCGAGAUUCGCUCUGGACUACCCAGCAUUGGUGGAAGGCCUGGUUCUGAUCAACAUCAACCAUUGUGCUGAGGGGUGGAUGGACUGGGCUGCAAACAAGGUCACUGCUUUGCCUGAAAUGCUCAUCGGCCAUCUCUUCGGAAAGGAGGAAAUAUCCAACAACCAUGACCUUAUCGCCACCUACCGCCAUCACAUCAUGAACGACAUGAACCAGUACAACCUGCACCACUUUGUCAAAGCUUACAACAGCCGGCGGGAUCUGGAGAUUGAGAGGCCCAUUCCUGGUGGGAAAAUCUCCGUCAGAACCCUGAAGUGUCCUUCUCUGUUGGUGGUAGGAGACAGCUCUCCGGCUGUUGACGCUGUGGUAGAGUGCAAUACUAAGCUGGACCCGACAAAGACCACACUGCUCAAGAUGGCAGAUUGCGGAGGCCUGCCCAUGGUUGACCAGCCUGCAAAGCUGACAGAGGCCUUCAAGUACUUCAUUCAGGGAAUGGGCUACAUGCCCGCCGCCAGCAUGACCAGACUGGUCCGCUCUCGCACUGCAUCCGGCUCCAGCAUCCACUCCAUGGAUGGCAACAGGAGCCGGUCUCACACAAACGAGGGAAACAGGAGCCGGUCACACACCAACGAGAAGCGUGGCCGCUCCCACACGGACAGUAUGGAAGGCACAGCAAACAGCAGCACUGCGCUCAAGUCCACCGAAGUGUCCUGCUAGAUGACCCUUAUAUGACACUCAACCUUUAACCUCUGCACCCUGGUUCCUGCUGCGCUGCCACUAACCACACCUACAAACACACAUACACAACUAGAGAAUGUCUCUAUGCCAAAGAGUUAUGCGAAGAGGUUGUGUGUGUAAGGCUAUGCAAGCAUAUACUACUGCAUUAUGAAGGAAAUUCCUUAGAGGGAAAAACGUAUUCUGAAAUAAACAGAUCCCUUCCCAUCUGCCGCGUCAGGUGGAAUAUCUAGUUGUUAGUGGCAACGCAGCAGAGUGACACAGCGCAACGGAGAAUGUGGGAGAAAGCUGUGGCUGCAGAACCAGUACUUAGUACAGCAGCUUGUCAUCAAGACCGUUUUUUUUUUGUGUCUAUAGUUCUUUAUUACAUGACACAGCUUUCUCAAAUGUGUACCUGACUAUAAAUGACUUUCUAAUUGUUCAUCGUAAACUUUUCAAUAUUCUGAUUAAUGUACUGUGGGAUACAGGAGAGAAGUGGUGUAAGAAUAGGUAGGCAAGUGGAUCAAAAAUAAAUAUAUAUGCAGUCUUUUUUAUUUUCUCAAAUUGCUAUUAGUCUUUGAAACUUUGGAAAGGAGGGAAUUGAAAAGUAUCAUGUACAUACAACACAUUCCUGUAAUGAUUCCUCUCUUUUAGGACGUCUGUUUCGUCUGGAGUUAACAUUCUUCUGGAUCUAUUAUAGAGCAUUUCAUGAGGUUAUCCUUUCAUUGAUCAAACAAUCACAUACUGUUGCUUUAUUAACAGAUCAUGGCUUCAGGCACAAUUGUUCUUUUGGAUAUUUCUUCUUGUGUAAAUGGUUAUUUCUAUGCAAUCCCGGCAAACAGAGAUAAUGUGCCAUGGAAACCCUCUGACUUACUAAGACUUCUUUGUUCUGAUGGAUUUGAGAAAGUCAAGCCGAUCCACAUGAUGUGAUGUAAAGGUCCGAGUUAGCCAUAGAGCUUCUCAAAAACCCUCUCCCACUCUUUUGUGCGCUACAGCAACACUUGCCGGCUAUGUAGAACAUCGCUUUAUGAAGAUGCAUAACUGCCUAAUGCUGUAGAUGAGAAGCAUUAAAUAUAGCAUAACAAUUUGUAUUUAUUAAAAACCUAUAACUUUU
This is an RNA transcript of Oncorhynchus gorbuscha (pink salmon), 2428 nucleotides long. It is a transcript of the gene named protein NDRG1-like, with no coding region annotated. NCBI's taxonomy places the organism in Eukaryota, Metazoa, Chordata, Actinopteri, Salmoniformes, Salmonidae. The transcript has 16 exons. The record is from RefSeq and is a predicted model, not a curated record.